UACGUAGGGUGCGAGCGUUAAUCGGAAUUACUGGGCGUAACGGGUGCGUAGGCGGGCAGGUAAGUCCGUGGUGAAAUCUCUGAGCUUAACUCAGAAACUGCCAUGGAUACUAUUUGUCUUGAAUAUUGUGGAGGUAAGCGGAAUAUGUCAUGUAGCGGUGAAAUGCUUAGAUAUGACAUAGAACACCAAUUGCGAAGGCAGCUUACUACACAGUUAUUGACGCUGAGGCACGAAAGCGUGGGGAUCAAACAGG
RNAcentral lists this ribosomal RNA (253 nucleotides) under uncultured bacterium. RNAcentral describes it as "partial 16S ribosomal RNA". It matches the Rfam family "Bacterial small subunit ribosomal RNA", at positions 524 to 776 of the family's 1533-position model. The record is from RNAcentral.